CCUGGUGGCUCAGACAGUAAAGCGUCUGCCUCCAACGCAGGAGACCCAGGUUCAGUCCCUGGGUCAGGA
RNAcentral lists this transfer RNA (69 nucleotides) under Ovis aries (sheep). It matches the Rfam family "tRNA". From Rfam's summary of the family: Transfer RNA (tRNA) molecules are approximately 80 nucleotides in length. Their secondary structure includes four short double-helical elements and three loops (D, anti-codon, and T loops). Further hydrogen bonds mediate the characteristic L-shaped molecular structure. tRNAs have two regions of fundamental functional importance: the anti-codon, which is responsible for specific mRNA codon recognition, and the 3' end, to which the tRNAs corresponding amino acid is attached (by aminoacyl-tRNA synthetases). tRNAs cope with the degeneracy of the genetic code in two manners: having more than one tRNA (with a specific anti-codon) for a particular amino acid; and 'wobble' base-pairing, i.e. permitting non-standard base-pairing at the 3rd anti-codon position. Lineage: Eukaryota; Metazoa; Chordata; Mammalia; Artiodactyla; Bovidae. The record is from Rfam by way of RNAcentral.